Molecule: small RNA, 505 nt
Filed under: Oryza sativa Japonica Group (Japanese rice)
Lineage: Eukaryota; Viridiplantae; Streptophyta; Magnoliopsida; Poales; Poaceae
Description: sRNA Os08g0416250
Source: RNAcentral
AUAGCGCGGCCACAGCAGGCGGCUAGAGGAGGGGAGGACGAGGCAGUGCUCCCUUCCCCUUCCUCCCUCCCCACUCCCAGAUCCGGCUGAAGGGAAUGACGGCGGCAACGGAGACGGCUCUCCCCUCCCAGGUCUCCCCCUUGUCUCCCUCCCUCUUAGAUCCGGUUGGAGGAGGGGAGGGUGGUGGUGGCGGCGUGGCUCCCUCCCUCCCAAAUCCAGCCGGAGGGUAGGGGGUGGCGGCAGUGGCAGUCAUAGUAGGCGACAGCGGUGCCGCAACCUUCCCUCCCCUUCCCUCACUCUCCUUCCCAAAACCCUAACCCUAGAUCUGACGCCCGAAGAAGGAGCCGGGGAGAGCGGCGGCGAUGUUUUUUUUUGUUCGAUGAGAAUGAUUAUCGCAUGCGGGUGUCUGACUGUCUGUGGCACCUUCAAAAAUAGAGAGGUCACCUGAGAAAAUCAUUUUUGCAAGCAGGACUGAUGUCUAUCUAUAAAAAUGGUGUAUUUUCCC